RNAcentral lists this ribosomal RNA (299 nucleotides) under uncultured bacterium. Its description in RNAcentral is "partial 16S ribosomal RNA". It matches the Rfam family "Bacterial small subunit ribosomal RNA", at positions 475 to 776 of the family's 1533-position model. The record is from RNAcentral.
CUAUGCGCCUUGCCAGCCCGCUCAGGUGUGCCAGCCGCCGCGGUAAUACGGAGGAUGCGUAGCGUUAUCCGGAUUUAUUGGGUUUAGAGGGUGCGUAGGCGGAUUUUUAAGUCAGCGGUAAAAUGUCCGGGCUCAACCCGGGCCGGCCGUUGAAACUGGGGAUCUUGAGUGGGCGAGAAGUAUGCGGAAUGCGUGGUGUAGCGGUGAAAUGCAUAGAUAUCACGCAGAACUCCGAUUGCGAAGGCAGCAUACCGGCGCCCGACUGACGCUGAGGCACGAAAGCGUGGGUAUCGAACAGG